CAAGCGGUGGAGCAUGUGGUUUAAUUCGAUGGUACGCGAGGAACCUUACCUGGGUUUGACAUACGGAGGGAAGUGGCAGCGAUGUCACUGUGUCGCGAGACGACUCCGUACAGGUGCUGCAUGGCUGUCGUCAGCUCGUGCCGUGAGGUGUUGGGUUAAGUCCCGCAACGAGCGCAACCCUACUGCCAGUUACUAACAGGUGAAGCUGAGGACUCUGGCGGAACUGCCGGUGACAAACCGGAGGAAGGUGGGAUGACGUCAAGUCAUCAUGGCCCUUAUGUCCAGGGCUACACACGUGCUACAAUGGGCGGUACAAAGAGAAGCAACCUCGCGAGGGUGAGCAAAUCUCAAAAAGCCGUUCUCAGUUCGGAUUGAAGUCUGCAACUCGACUUCAUGAAGUCGGAAUCGCUAGUAAUCGCGGAUCAGCAUGCCGCGGUGAAUGCGUUCCCGGGCCUU
This 456-nucleotide ribosomal RNA is filed under the name uncultured Spirochaetaceae bacterium. Its description in RNAcentral is "bacterial SSU rRNA". It matches the Rfam family "Bacterial small subunit ribosomal RNA", at positions 926 to 1382 of the family's 1533-position model. The record is from RNAcentral. Lineage: Bacteria; Pseudomonadati; Spirochaetota; Spirochaetia; Spirochaetales; Spirochaetaceae.